AGGGUUCUUUGUUUUUCGGGUUUUCGGGGUUUAGUUUUUAUCUCCAUCUUUUGUACUCUUCAUUCUUUUGCCAUUAUAGUAAAAUUAUCUUUGCCCGUGGUUUUUUAUCCUCUUUUGAGGGGUUUUUCCACGUUAAAUUUGUGUGUUCAUCUUCUCAAUUUCUUUUACUAUUUUUACUUGUUCGUUGCUUAAUUGGGACGAUCCUAACAAGUGGUAUCAGAGCUAGUUUAACUUUCAUAGAUCAGCCCGUUCAGAGAUGGCAGCAACAAGGUUUGAAAUUGAGAAGUUCGAUGGUGAGACAAAUUUCAAUUUGUGGCAAGUUCGGAUGAU
RNAcentral lists this long non-coding RNA (330 nucleotides) under Gossypium raimondii (Peruvian cotton). RNAcentral describes it as "long non-coding RNA (GRAI_LNC005282)". Lineage: Eukaryota; Viridiplantae; Streptophyta; Magnoliopsida; Malvales; Malvaceae. The record is from RNAcentral.